UAAGCAUAUCAAUAAGCGGAGGAAAAGAAACCAACAGGGAUUGCCCUAGUAACGGCGAGUGAAGCGGCAAAAGCUCAGAUUUGAAAUCUCUUUUUUUCAAAAAGCGAAUUGUAAUCUGUAGAAGGUUGAAUGGCUGCAUUUAUUGAUUUAAAUUCCUUGGAACAGGAUAUCAUAGAGGGUGAGAAUCCCGUGAUUUUCAAUUAAAUAAAGUCAAUUAAUUCACCUUUCGACGAGUCGAGUUGUUUGGGAAUGCAGCUCUAAAUGGGUGGUAAAUUUCAUCUAAAGCUAAAUACCUGCCAGAGACCGAUAGCGAACAAGUAGAGUGAUCGAAAGAUGAAAAGCACUUUGAAAAGAGAGUUAAAAAGUACGUGAAAUUGUUGAAAGGGAAGCGCUUGCGAUUAGACUUGAUAAUUAAAUUCAAUUAACUUACGAGUUCAAUUUAUUUUUUGAUUAUCAGGCCAGCAUCAGUUUGUUGGGAUUUAUAAAAUUAAAUGGAAUGUAGUAAUUGUUUCGGCAAUUAUGUUAUAGCCAUUUAAAUAAUUAAAUUCACUACAGACUGAGGUCUGCUCUUCGGAAAGGAUGCUGGCAUAAUGAUUGUAAGCGACCCGUCUUGAA
This 615-nucleotide ribosomal RNA is filed under the name Actinoplaca aff. 'ampullifera'. RNAcentral describes it as "partial large subunit ribosomal RNA". It matches the Rfam family "Eukaryotic large subunit ribosomal RNA", at positions 35 to 658 of the family's 3401-position model. Lineage: Eukaryota; Fungi; Ascomycota; Lecanoromycetes; Ostropales; Graphidaceae. The record is from RNAcentral.